Phragmites australis (common reed) is the source of this 2512-nucleotide long non-coding RNA. RefSeq lists it as uncharacterized. The record is from RefSeq and is a predicted model, not a curated record. Lineage: Eukaryota; Viridiplantae; Streptophyta; Magnoliopsida; Poales; Poaceae. The transcript is spliced from 4 exons.
UUAUUGAAAAAAUUAUUGCUAUUGGUGAUAUCGUAACAGUAAACACCAGGAAUGGUCCAAGGCUAAAAAGGAACAUUCAUAUCACUGAUGGCAGCCACCAAGUAGCAAUCACUCUCUGCCAAGAGCAAGCUGAGUCCUUUGAUGGCGAACAACUGCAUGAAACAUCAACUACCGCAGCAAUUUAUGUGCUCUUCGUUGGUAUGACUGUUGGGACUUUUUCAGGAACUAUUGCCCUCCAAGGAAUCUCAGCCACAAAAUGGUAUAUCAAUAUACCAAUUCCGGAAAUCGCAGCACUACGAACCAGCCUAGCAAAUCAUCCUCACCAAAUUGAAUGGCUUCAAGGAACUGCUGCUCCACAAAACCCUUUGGCUACAACAGUCCAUGAUCUCACCGAGCUUAUUCCAAAUGAUGCUCUGGUAUCACAAGCAUUGUUUACUAUCUUUCACUCUCUUUUUCUAUUCAGCCCUAUUCUACUUCAUCAAUAAUAUCGAUAUUCCAGGGUCAGACCUAUACUGUGACCACCCUUCUCAAAGAUCUGGUUCCUGGAGAGGCCUGGUGGUAUAUGUCGUGCGGAGCUUGCUGGAAAAAAAACUGAACCCAAUGCUGAUUCUUACUAAUGUCCCAGGUGUUCCAGCAAAGAGACCGAGCCACGGUAUGUACCAUUUCCACAAUACUUUGCGUACCUUCACCAUACAAAAUCACUCCUAUUAUUUUCUACUUACAUACAUCCCUCUACGAUUUAUGUUGCAGGUACAGAAUUACAUACUUUGGCACCGACCCAUCUACAGCCCAAGAAUCUAAUUCACAACUUGCACGGUUUAUAUUCUUUGGCAAAAUAGGGCACCAACUAAUUGGGAAACCUCCCACAGUCCUAAUUGCAACAGGAAAAGGGGACCCGGCUUAUGUCCCCCCGGAGAUAACAAACCAUAUUGGCAAAACUUAUACCAUGACUGUGCAAAUGACAACAGGCUCCCUCCAAAGCAUCCACCCAACAUUUCAGGUCCAGGCCCUUGCUGUUUAUGCAAACUUAUCAGGGAGGCUCCUCACUCCUACAACACCCAGUGCAAUACCUUCUGCACAAACCAAUGUGCCUACCACCCACAUACCUACCAGCUCCACAUUGGAUCAUCAAGGCAGUUCUAUAACAUCUUUGAAUACACGAGACACUCCUAUGUCUCCUGAUAAGGUUAAUUUUACACUCUCCUAUCUAUUUUGCGUUCCUUAGUCUACUAUCAUAGCUCUUACAGUUUUACAUCCACUUUGCUGCUUGUACAACAGCUACUGGUAUCAUCAACACCACCACCACAGGAGACACCUACUGACCACACUCCAACCAUGGUACCAUGCUAAUAUACAUACCCUCUUGCUAUAGCCAUCCUAACUGCACCUACCAGAAGUUUCAAUCCAGUAACAUCCUAAUUCUCUUGGUUUUUAUCAUGUUCUACUAUCAAAUAGCACGGCACCAGCAGUUCUGCAUCCCACAAGCGUCACCUCCGAGAUCCUGAAAACCUUAAUACCAACCUUCCUGCCAACAAAAGGUAUUUGUUGAUUCACCUCACUGUCUCUAAUCUACAGUCAUUAACCCACCACCCCAGCAAUACUAUCUUUUAUCAUAACCUGUAUGAACCAUUACAGCGCUCCAACCAACACACAUCCACAUCAGGUGUCUAGGAAACUCCACCUAUCCACCUCCGACAACGAAAGCUAGGUAAUACAUCAUUCCUCUUACACUAAUAUACAUACUGUCAAAAAUUCCCUGCUUUUCGAAACAAAAAACUCAUUCUAUGAUCAUAAAUAGAUUGUUCCUUUCUUAACAAGGAAACUAUACCAUUCUAACAUACACAACUGCUAUAUGUAGGUUUCCUACCCAUUCUGACAACUACCCAUCCACUCCAGCAUCAUCACUCAGCGUGUGCAAAUCACCGGCCUUUACCUUAUGUACAAGCAAACAACUUAUCCACACUAUCCAGUCAGCCAAGCCCUAAUAUACUGUACAACGAAUAUGUAUCUAGGCUUCAAACCACUUAACUACACCUGCAUAACUGUAUAUGAUCAUCACUGCCACACACAAAAAUAUGCACAUAAGCCUCUUACACUACAUAUUACCUUCUAUGAUGUAUAUUUUUACCUACAUGCUCCCCGGAUAAUGGACCAGAUAUUGUAUCCGUUCCCACCUUUAUAUUUGAUACUCAUCCACUUACUUCCACUUAAAUAUUAUGCUACAUCUACUUACUUUAGCAUGGAACAAAUCUACCACCCAGUAAGCUAGCCUUACCAUAUUGUAUUUCGUUCAACCUCAAUUGGGAUCCUUUACGAGACCGACUAUUAUAAAUCUUCACUAAUCAUCUGAUCUUCUUCAGCAAUAUUACAUUCACAUACAUUUUUCUCUCUGAUUAUGAUCAAAUCAAUACAAAUUGAACGGACCCCUUCCGGUUGCCUCAUUCUUUACUUUCAAUUGCAAAUUCCGACAUCCAUCUACCGGCUCGCCACUUGCAUCUCACUAAAUAUACAC